RNAcentral lists this long non-coding RNA (205 nucleotides) under Elaeis guineensis (African oil palm). RNAcentral's name for it is "long non-coding RNA (EGUI_LNC079933)". The record is from RNAcentral. Lineage: Eukaryota; Viridiplantae; Streptophyta; Magnoliopsida; Arecales; Arecaceae.
CCGUGGAGCACGUGGAGCAUGAAUCUUAUGACCCUAUAUCACUUAAUCAGCUACAUACAACACAUGUCGGACUUAGAGGUUUGGGAACUCCAAUGGCUAAUACAACUUUAUUUAAAAAUGAAGCCACUGUUAGUUACAUCUUAAUCCUACUGAUGAUGAAGAUGAGGAUGAUGAUGUAGAGUCCGAUGUCAGUGAUAGUAGAGAG